GAUGAACGCUGGCGGCGUGCCUAAUACAUGCAAGUCGAGCGAACGGACGAGAAGCUUGCUUUUCUGAUGUUAGCGGCGGACGGGGGAGUAACACGUGGAUAACAUAUCUAUAAGACUGGGAUAAAUUCGGGAAACCGGAGCUCAUACAGGAUAAUAUUUUGAACCGCAUGGUUCAAAAGUGAAAGACGGUCUUGCUGUCACUUAUAGAUGGAUCCGCUCCGCAUUAGCUAGUUGGUAAGGUAACGGCUUACCAAGGCAACGAUGCAUAGCCGACCUGAGAGGGUGAUCGGCAAGACCUGAACUGGGACGAGGCCCAGACUACUACGGUAGGCAGCAGUAGGGAAGCGUCCGCAAUGGGCUGAAGCCUGACGGAGCAACGCCGCGUGAGGUAUGAAGGGCUUCGGAUCGUAAUACUCUGUUAUUAGGGAAGAACAUAUGUGUAAGUAACUGUGCAUAGCUUGACGGUACCUAAUCAGAAAGCCACGGCUAACUACGUG
This 497-nucleotide ribosomal RNA is filed under the name uncultured bacterium. RNAcentral describes it as "partial 16S ribosomal RNA". It matches the Rfam family "Bacterial small subunit ribosomal RNA", at positions 28 to 507 of the family's 1533-position model. The record is from RNAcentral.